This 510-nucleotide ribosomal RNA is filed under the name Amphioctopus fangsiao. RNAcentral describes it as "partial 16S ribosomal RNA". It matches the Rfam family "Bacterial large subunit ribosomal RNA", at positions 1817 to 2597 of the family's 2925-position model. Lineage: Eukaryota; Metazoa; Mollusca; Cephalopoda; Octopoda; Octopodidae. The record is from RNAcentral.
GUCUCUUUGAUAGUUUUUAAUAGAGAGUUGGGCCUGCUCGGUGAAUAAUAUUUAACAGCUGCGGUAUUAUAACUGUACUAAGGUAGCAUAAUAAUUUGCCUUAUAAAUUGAGGCUAGAAUGAAUGGUUUGACGAAAAUUAUACUGUCUCUUACUUAUUUAUUAGAAAUUAAUUUUCAUAGUGAAAAAGCUUAAAUAAUUUAAAGGGACGAAAAGACCCUAUUGAGCUUUAUAUUAUUGUUUAAAUUUAUUAUGCUGUUUUUAUUUAAAAUAAUUUUGGUUGGGGUGAUCAAGGAAUAAAAUAUUAAAUUUAUUAACUUCCUUAUUAUAUUUAAAUAUCUAUAUUAAUAAACCAAACUUUUUGCUUAGAAGAUAAGUUACCAUAGGGAUAACAGCGUAAUUUUUUUUGAGAGUUCAUAUUGAGAAAAGAGAUUGCGACCUCGAUGUUGGAUUAAAAUAACCUUAGGGUGUAGAGGCUUUAAUUGGUUAAUCUGUUCGAUUUUUAAAAUUUU